UUUUGCACCUGAGUCUGACAUCGUAGAAGGACCAUUCUGGUAUCAGAUUGGAUUUUGCACCUGAGUCUGACAUCGUAGAAGGACCAUUCUGGUACCAGAUUGGAUUUUGCACCUGAGUCUGACAUCGUAGAAGGACCAUUCUGGUACCAGAUUGGAUUUUGCACCUGAGUCUGACAUCGUAGAAGGACCAUUCUUGCAUCAGAUUGUUAGUAUUAAAUUAUCUUAAAUAACUUUUGUAAUUAUUACACAAAUUGUCUCCCAACAUUUAUGCUUGUGUGUUUUCUUUAAUAAAGAAUAUUUUUAAAUUUUUCUAAUUAAAA
Dalotia coriaria is the source of this 320-nucleotide long non-coding RNA. RefSeq lists it as uncharacterized. The transcript has 4 exons. The record is from RefSeq and is a predicted model, not a curated record. Lineage: Eukaryota; Metazoa; Arthropoda; Insecta; Coleoptera; Staphylinidae.